This 571-nucleotide small RNA is filed under the name Pan troglodytes (chimpanzee). RNAcentral's name for it is "processed transcript". Lineage: Eukaryota; Metazoa; Chordata; Mammalia; Primates; Hominidae. The record is from RNAcentral.
AGGAAACAGUGUGGAUCACAAGGAGGUGAUUGAGAGCUACUCUGCGUCUGGAAGAGUGAGGAGGAGCCUGUGUGGCAGAACAAAAUGGAUAAGGUCGUUCCAGCCGUGCAGAGGUGUGGAGGUGUGAGCCUGCAGACUCUUCCAGCUGGAGUUGGAGGCUGACGCCCUAGUGAAUUUCCAUCAGUAUUCUUCCCAGCUGCUACCCUUCUAUGAGAGCUCCCCUCAGGUCCUGCACACUGAGGUCCUGCAGCACCUGACUGACCUCAUCCGUAACCACCCCAGCUGGUCAGUGGCCCACCUGGCUGUGGAGCUAGGGAUCCGCGAGUGCUUCCAUCACAGCCGUAUCAUCAGCUGUGCCAAUUGCGCGGAGAACGAGGAGGGCUGCACACCCCUGCACCUGGCCUGCCGCAAGGGUGAUGGGGAGAUCCUGGUGGAGCUGGUGCAGUACUGCCACACUCAGAUGGAUGUCACCGACUACAAGGGAGAGACCGUCUUCCAUUAUGCUGUCCAGAGUGACAAUUCUCAGGUGCUGCAGCUCCUUGGAAGGAACGCAGUGGCUGGCCUGAACCAG